CAAUAGCGUAUAUUAAAGUUGUUGCGGUAAAAAAGCUCGUAGUUGGAUUUCUACCGAAGAUAGCCGGUCGGGUCUUCGACCUUGUAUCUGGUUUUGUCUUUGGUAUCCUCAUAGGGAACGUUUCUGCGCUUUAUUGCGUGGUGCGGUAUCUAUGACUUUUACUUUGAGGAAAUUAGAGUGUUCACGGCAGGCAAACGCCUUGAAUAUAUUAGCAUGGAAUAAUAACAUAGCAUCUUCGUCCUAUUUUGUUGGUUUCUAGGGCUAAGAUAAUGAUUAAUAGGGAUAAUUGGGGGCAUCUGUAUCAACGCGUCAGAGGUGGAAUUCUUGGAUUGCGUUGCGACAAACUACUGCGAAAGCAUUUGCCAAGGAUGUUUUCAUUGA
RNAcentral lists this ribosomal RNA (381 nucleotides) under uncultured eukaryote. Its description in RNAcentral is "partial 18S ribosomal RNA". It matches the Rfam family "Eukaryotic small subunit ribosomal RNA", at positions 592 to 976 of the family's 1831-position model. The record is from RNAcentral.